AUUUUUUACUAUGACGAGGAUCGCCAUAUGUAUGGGGUUUUCUUGGAAAACCGUGUUUUGUUUUUACAUAUUUUUUGCUCAUUUCAUUGAAAGGCGAUUCUCGUCAUAGUAAAAAAUCAUCAGUUUGCCAAGAUCUAUUAAAUGAGACAUGUUUCAUUUCUGUUGGUGGGUGGGGACAGUGCCCAUACAAAUUUGCCCAUGGUCCUUUCUUCAAUUU
This is a long non-coding RNA of Cydia splendana, 217 nucleotides long. RefSeq lists it as uncharacterized. Lineage: Eukaryota; Metazoa; Arthropoda; Insecta; Lepidoptera; Tortricidae. The record is from RefSeq and is a predicted model, not a curated record. The transcript has 2 exons.